CCCUUAGAUGUUCUGGGCCGCACGCGCGCUACACUGACGAAUGCAACGAGCUUAUAACCUUGGCCGAAAGGUCUGGGUAAUCUCCAAAUUUCGUCGUGAUGGGGAUAGAUUAUUGCAAUUAUUAAUCUUCAACGAGGAAUGCCUAGUAAGCGCAAGUCAUCAGCUUGCAUUGAUUACGUCCCUGCCCUUUGUACACACCGCCCGUCGCUCCUACCGAUUGAAUGUUCCGAUGAAUACCAUGGACUGAGAGUAUGAAUGGGUUCGCCUAUUUCUGCUUCUCGGGAAGUGGAGUAAAUCUUAACAUUUAGAGGAAGGAGAAGUCGUAACA
This 328-nucleotide ribosomal RNA is filed under the name uncultured eukaryote. RNAcentral describes it as "partial 18S ribosomal RNA". It matches the Rfam family "Eukaryotic small subunit ribosomal RNA", at positions 1470 to 1796 of the family's 1831-position model. The record is from RNAcentral.